Molecule: transfer RNA, 70 nt
Filed under: pig gut metagenome
Rfam family: tRNA
About the family: Transfer RNA (tRNA) molecules are approximately 80 nucleotides in length. Their secondary structure includes four short double-helical elements and three loops (D, anti-codon, and T loops).
Source: RNAcentral
AUGCUUAGCUCAGCUGGUUAGAGCAUCGCCUUUACACGGCGGAGGUCAGGGGUUCGAAUCCCUUAGCAUC